UACGAAGGGGCUAGCGUUGUUCGGAUUUAUUGGGCGUAAGAGCUCGUAGGCGGUUUGUCGCGUCUGCUGUGAAACGCGAGGCUCAACCUCGCGCCUGCAGUGGGUACGGGCAGACUGGAGUGCGGUAGGGGAGAUUGGAAUUCCUGGUGUAGCGGUGGAAUGCGCAGAUAUCAGGAGGAACACCGAUGGCGAAGGCAGAUCUCUGGGCCGUAACUGACGCUGAGGAGCGAAAGCGUGGGGAGCGAACAGG
This 250-nucleotide ribosomal RNA is filed under the name uncultured bacterium. Its description in RNAcentral is "partial 16S ribosomal RNA". It matches the Rfam family "Bacterial small subunit ribosomal RNA", at positions 524 to 776 of the family's 1533-position model. The record is from RNAcentral.